Molecule: ribosomal RNA, 1245 nt
Filed under: metagenome
Description: bacterial LSU rRNA
Rfam family: Bacterial large subunit ribosomal RNA
Source: RNAcentral
UUGUGGUGAAGGAACUCGGCAAAAUACCCCCGUACUUCGGGAUAAGGGGGACCUGAUACGUAUAAGAGCUUUGCCUUGAAAGCGUUGAGGGUCGCAGAGAACAGGCCCAAGCGACUGUUUACUAAAAACACAGGUCCGUGCUAAGUCGAAAGACGAUGUAUACGGACUGACUCCUGCCCGGUGCUGGAAGGUUAAGGGGAACUGUUAAUCAACUUUGUUGGUGAAGCGGUGAACUUAAGCCCCAGUAAACGGCGAUGGUAACUAUAACCAUCCUAAGGUAGCGAAAUUCCUUGUCGGGUAAGUUCCGACCUGCACGAAUGGAGUAACGAUUUGGGCGCUGUCUCCACCACGAACUCGGCGAAAUUGCAUUACGAGUAAAGAUGCUCGUUACGCGCAGCAGGACGGAAAGACCCCGGGACCUUUACUAUAGUUUGGUAUUGGUGAUCGGUGUGACUUGUGUAGGAUAGGUGGGAGACUUUGAAGCCGGGACGCCAGUUCUGGUGGAGUCAUCGUUGAAAUACCACUCUGGUCACUCUGGUUAUCUAACCUAGGUCCAUUAUCUGGAUCAGGGACAGUGCCUGAUGGGUAGUUUGACUGGGGCGGUCGCCUCCUAAAAGGUAACGGAGGCGCCCAAAGGUUCCCUCAGCCUGGUUGGCAAUCAGGUUUUGAGUGUAAGUGCACAAGGGAGCUUGACUGCGAGACAGACAUGUCGAGCAGGGACGAAAGUCGGGACUAGUGAUCUUCUGGUAGCGAAUGGAAGCGCCAGGACUCAACGGAUAAAAGGUACCCCGGGGAUAACAGGCUGAUCUUGCCCGAGCGUCCAUAGCGACGGCAUGGUUUGGCACCUCGAUGUCGGCUCGUCGCAUCCUGGCUGGAGUCGGUCCCAAGGGUUGGGCUGUUCGCCCAUUAAAGCGGCACGCGAGCUGGGUUUAGAACGUCGUGAGACAGUUCGGUCCCUAUCCGCUGCGCGCGUAGGAGUCUUGAGAAGAGCUGUCCUUAGUACGAGAGGACCGGGACGGACUAACCUCUGGUGUGCCAGUUGUUCCACCAGGAGCACGGCUGGUUGGCUACGUUGGGAAGUGAUAACCGCUGAAAGCAUCUAAGCGGGAAGCACGCUUCAAGAUGAGGGCUCCCACAACGUUUAAGUUGGUAAGGCCCCCUGUAGACCACGGGGUUGAUAGGUCGGACGUGGAAGCACAGUAAUGUGUGGAGCUGACCGAUACUAAUAGGCCGAGGGCUUGUCAU